UUCAAUCUGUCACAUUUUUCUGUUAAGUGUUUUAUUUAAGCCAAAUAGUGCAUUGUGAAUCCACACAGGAGUAGAUGGAAACUAGUUAGACAGAACAGCUAGCUCUUUUGUCAUUUGCAUCUUAUCGCUAAUAAGGAGCCAUUAAAAACAGUGAAUGCAGCUCUUUAAAACUAAAAUAAGCAUUUAGGGAUGGGGGAACCUUACAAAGCGAUACCACUAAAAUGAAACAUCAAAAUGUCAUUUGGGCAUUAAGUGCUUCAAUAGUAAUAAUUGACUUCUCAUCAAGAAACCAUGUUGGAACAAAAAUCUGCUGCCACUGCGUCCCUCCAGGACAGAUGUUACCUGCCCCCACACUAGAUCAUGUGUUCUCUCUUAUUUUAUACACAAAGAACUUGCUGGAAUUUUGUGAUUUAUACAGAGAGAAGUGGGAACAUUAAGAGGUGCUUACAAUAGAUUAUAUUCAGUUACAUUUGAGUAAGAUAAUAAAAACAAGCCACCACAACCCGUGAUCGGUUGUCUGUCAUAGUGGUUUAACAGCGGAGUGCUCUUCAUGUUGCAGUUCAUCAAACCAUGCAAUCUUUCAGACUUUUCUUAAAAUGGCUGAAGAGUGAAGACCACAGAAAAUGGCAUUAAACCUGCUUCCUGUUCACACUUUUGACCUAAAGACUGUUAUUUUGAUAAUGUGCUACUAUCUUGUGCCUCUUCGACAGUUGCCUUAUGUGGCUAAAUUAAUAUUAAAAGACAAGCAAGUUGUACUUUUUUAGGUGCAUUUGCAUAUGAUGUAAAAAGCCCUUACUGUGAUAGCAAUUGCUGUCUGUCCACAUGAAGCAACUCCGCUCCCAGUGGACCGAUUUUUUUUAAGGAAUUUCUUUGUGGAAAUUUAAUAGGACAGGUAAAUUUUCAUCGAGACAUCCCGAAUAGAGUGUGCUGUACAAAGUUUUUUAACAUUUCAGAGUCUCCCACUGAAAAAGCAUUGGUGAAUUUGUGAACUCAUCGAUCUUAAAACAAAGAAGCAUUCUGUGCAGCUUCAAUUAUGGAUUAGUUUGCUGUUUCCAAUUCACCUUGAAAAAAGUUAUUUCGGCUUGUAUAUUUUAUAUAUUUUUCCUCUUUUACUUGUCAAAUAGCAGCCAAGAUCCUCUAUACAAGUUAGGCAAUCCUCCAGGGGAAGAGCGUACAAGUUGCUUAUGCAUCAGUUCAUGUCUCCUAUUGCUUCAGUUUAUCAGCAAAGCUCCAGACCUGCUCUCCAUUCCAUGCAGAAGCAGCCAUCAAUUUUACCUUGAAAUUUAACUCUCUGUCAGUUACAAGAAGAAGGGUCUAUUUAGAACUCCAACUUCUAGAAAGCCAAGUCAGACCUGCCACUUAACCUAACAUGUGUAUCCUGUAGAUGUGAGAGGAAGCUGAAGCACCAGCAGAAACCCACACGGACAUUGAGAGGAUGUGUAGACUCCAUACAGGCAUUGGCCAGGCACCAAAUGACUCCCAGGAAAUGAUGCCUAACCCUUCCCAUUCCCAGUCCUAUAUGUGUUGAAGGUCAUCAUUUAAGUCUUUGAGAACCCCAAGAGACAGAGCUCUUGAGUUUUUUUGCUGACAAAGAUGACAAUAGACACUUUGGAAAGGGGCACCAACACCUGUUUUUGUUUCUUUUUUGCUCUGGCCUCAUUAAAUGGGGUUUCACCGGAUUGGUGCCUCAACCAUUUGCACCUGUGUUCUUCAGUUUUGUCUGUCAGUCUGGUAUUUCUUAUUGUAAAAUUCCUUGAGAAUCCUAAAGCUUCUGCUUGAUUAUCUUUUGUCAACUUUAGGUCAGCUUUGCCGCCAAAUGUCCUUAAUACCAUGCUGUAACAAUUAAAAAUAAAUCCUUUUAUUAUAAAGUGGUA
This is a long non-coding RNA of Polypterus senegalus (gray bichir), 1874 nucleotides long. RefSeq lists it as uncharacterized. The transcript has 4 exons. NCBI's taxonomy places the organism in Eukaryota, Metazoa, Chordata, Cladistia, Polypteriformes, Polypteridae. The record is from RefSeq and is a predicted model, not a curated record.